RNAcentral lists this ribosomal RNA (1484 nucleotides) under uncultured prokaryote. RNAcentral's name for it is "partial 16S ribosomal RNA". It matches the Rfam family "Bacterial small subunit ribosomal RNA". The record is from RNAcentral.
ACAACGGAGAGUUUGAUCCUGGCUCAGGAUGAACGCUGGCGGCGUGCUUAACACAUGCAAGUCGAACGAACCUUCGGGUUAGUGGCGGACGGGUGAGUAACGCGUGAGAAUCUGCCCUCAGGAGGGGGAUAACGGCUGGAAACGGCCGCUAAUACCCCAUAUGCCGCGAGGUGAAAUGAAUUUCGCCUGAGGAUGAGCUCGCGUCUGAUUAGCUAGUUGGUGGGGUAAAAGCCUACCAAGGCUUCGAUCAGUAGCUGGUCUGAGAGGAUGAUCAGCCACACUGGGACUGAGACACGGCCCAGACUCCUACGGGAGGCAGCAGUGGGGAAUUUUCCGCAAUGGGCGAAAGCCUGACGGAGCAACGCCGCGUGAGGGAUGAAGGCCUCUGGGCUGUAAACCUCUUUUAUCAAGGAAGAAGAUCUGACGGUACUUGAUGAAUAAGCCACGGCUAAUUCCGUGCCAGCAGCCGCGGUAAUACGGGAGUGGCAAGCGUUAUCCGGAAUUAUUGGGCGUAAAGCGUCCGCAGGCGGUCUUGUAAGUCUGUUGUUAAAGCGUGGAGCUUAACUCCAUUUCAGCAAUGGAAACUGUAAGACUAGAGUGUGGUAGGGGCAGAGGGAAUUCCCGGUGUAGCGGUGAAAUGCGUAGAUAUCGGGAAGAACACCAGUGGCGAAGGCGCUCUGCUGGGCCAUAACUGACGCUCAUGGACGAAAGCCAGGGGAGCGAAAGGGAUUAGAUACCCCUGUAGUCCUGGCCGUAAACGAUGAACACUAGGUGUCGGGGGAAUCGACCCCCUCGGUGUCGUAGCCAACGCGUUAAGUGUUCCGCCUGGGGAGUACGCACGCAAGUGUGAAACUCAAAGGAAUUGACGGGGGCCCGCACAAGCGGUGGAGUAUGUGGUUUAAUUCGAUGCAACGCGAAGAACCUUACCAGGGUUUGACAUCCUGCGAAUCCCUUGGAAACGAGGGAGUGCCUUCGGGAACGCAGUGACAGGUGGUGCAUGGCUGUCGUCAGCUCGUGUCGUGAGAUGUUGGGUUAAGUCCCGCAACGAGCGCAACCCACGUCGUUAGUUGCCAGCAUUCAGUUGGGCACUCUAGCGAGACCGCCGGUGAUAAACCGGAGGAAGGUGUGGAUGACGUCAAGUCAUCAUGCCCCUUACAUCCUGGGCUACACACGUACUACAAUGCUACGGACAAAGGGCAGCAAACUCGCGAGAGCUAGCAAAUCCCAUAAACCGUGGCUCAGUUCAGAUCGUAGGCUGCAACUCGCCUACGUGAAGGAGGAAUCGCUAGUAAUCGCAGGUCAGCAUACUGCGGUGAAUACGUUCCCGGGCCUUGUACACACCGCCCGUCACACCAUGGAAGUUGGCCACGCCCGAAGCCGUUACUCCAACCCUUGUGGAGGAGGAUGUCGAAGGUGGGGCUGAUGACUGGGGUGAAGUCGUAACAAGGUAGCCGUACCGGAAGGUGCGGCUGGAUCACCUCCUA